UACGGAGGGGGCUAGCGUUGUUCGGAAUUACUGGGCGUAAAGCGCACGUAGGCGGCUUUGUAAGUUAGAGGUGAAAGCCCGGGGCUCAACUCCGGAAUUGCCUUUAAGACUGCAUCGCUAGAAUUGUGGAGAGGUGAGUGGAAUUCCGAGUGUAGAGGUGAAAUUCGUAGAUAUUCGGAAGAACACCAGUGGCGAAGGCGGCUCACUGGACCGGUAUUGACGCUGAGGUGCGAAAGCGUGGGGAGCGAACAGG
This 253-nucleotide ribosomal RNA is filed under the name uncultured bacterium. RNAcentral's name for it is "partial 16S ribosomal RNA". It matches the Rfam family "Bacterial small subunit ribosomal RNA", at positions 524 to 776 of the family's 1533-position model. The record is from RNAcentral.